RNAcentral lists this ribosomal RNA (497 nucleotides) under uncultured bacterium. RNAcentral describes it as "partial 16S ribosomal RNA". It matches the Rfam family "Bacterial small subunit ribosomal RNA", at positions 28 to 507 of the family's 1533-position model. The record is from RNAcentral.
GAUGAACGCUGGCGGCGUGCCUAAUACAUGCAAGUCGAGCGAACAGACGAGGAGCUUGCUCCUCUGACGUUAGCGGCGGACGGGUGAGUAACACGUGGAUAACCUACCUAUAAGACUGGGAUAACUUAGGGAAACCGGAGCUAAUACCGGAUAAUAUAUUGAACCGCAUGGUUCAAUAGUGAAAGACGGUUUUGCUGUCACUUAUAGAUGGAUCCGCGCCGCAUUAGCUAGUUGGUAAGGUAACGGCUUACCAAGGCAACGAUGCGUAGCCGACCUGAGAGGGUGGUCGGCCACACUGGAACUGAGACACGGUCCAGACACCUACGGGAGGCAGCAGUAGGGAAUCUUCCGCAAUGGGGGAAAGCCUGACGGAGCAACGCCGCGUGAGUGAUGAAGGUCCUCGGAUCGUAAAACUCUGUUAUUAGGGAAGAACAAAUGUGUAAGUAACUAUGCACGUCUUGACGGUACCUAAUCAGAAAGCCACGGCUAACUACGUG